UUGAUAUGUUCCAUUCUAAUGUUCCAUGGGGGGAAACCACUAACGUUUCCCCGUGCAGUGGAAUUUCUGCUCCAUGAAAAUCACAGCUAGGAAAUGUUGAAACUCAUUUCUCCAUCCGUGCUUUCCAGUCGUGUCACCAACACAUGCUGGAAGGAGGCUUGGCGAGGCCAUCAAGCAGACACAGGGAUGAAGAGUUGCUACCAGAAAACUCAACUAUGUCUGUGAGCUCAGAAAGCACUACAGAUGGUCUCUGUUUUGGGAACUGUAACCUCAAGUGUAAUGUGUGCUAGCUGAUCUCGAGCAAUCUUAUUGCUUAUGGCUGUGAAUGAAGAACAACGUGCUUUCAAAUCCCACACAAACCACGGUGUGUACUAACUCUCAAGAGCCAUCUGCAAGAUCCAGAGCCUUGGACUUGGCAGUGGAGCCUCCUGUGAAUAACUGGUCCAAGCCAGGAGUGGAGAUGACUGACAAAUCAAAACAGGAAAGAGAAAUGGUUCCUUCUGCGAGGAAUUAGCAAGUAAGCCAAGGGCAAGCAAGCAGUUACAAAACAGAGACAAAUAUUCCCAGGAUUCAUUUUUGACUCUGUCCUAUUGAAGAUACAGAUUUUCUGGUCGUACUUUUAUGUUCCUAAUAUUUCUAUGAAAAACUGGCAUGAUUCUGACAUGUAUCCCGUACUCGUAUCCCUCAACUGGUGAUGAUAAACCUUCAAGAGCAGAAUGAAAUAGUGAUGACUGCUGUAACUGUUGCACAGCCAAGUGACACAGCUGUGAUGCUGCUGCUGAUGUUGGCUGUGAUGUAAUUAUCUGAUCCUUCAGCUCCCAUCUUCUUACAUAAAUGUAAAUGUGCCUUUCAGUAUCUUUUGGGUAAAAAGACUGUUUUAUUGCCUGUAUGCAAAAUGUUUUAUGAACAAAUAGAAAGGAUUCAUGUCA
Molecule: non-coding RNA, 929 nt
Organism: Coturnix japonica (Japanese quail)
Lineage: Eukaryota; Metazoa; Chordata; Aves; Galliformes; Phasianidae
Source: RefSeq, a predicted model, not a curated record